Molecule: long non-coding RNA, 532 nt
Organism: Harpia harpyja (harpy eagle)
Lineage: Eukaryota; Metazoa; Chordata; Aves; Accipitriformes; Accipitridae
Exons: 3
Source: RefSeq, a predicted model, not a curated record
GCUUCCAGUAAAAGCAGGAGGUGUCAGUCCCUCUCUCACCUACUCUGUUCCUUCCUCCCCUUGCCUCUGCUCCCAGCUGCUUGAUCUUUUCCUCCUUUGCGUCACUCUGAUACUCAACUGAUCACACGAUCCUGAAUUUUCUGAAACAUCUGUUCUCUUCAACCUUCAGCUCCUUGCAGGGUAAAAAUAGGCUUUAUCUUGGAGAAGAGAGAAGACUAAAAAGCCAGAAGAUCCUGUAAUCAGUGGAAGUUUCUAUCAUUGGACCAAAUGAAAAAUAUUAUACAAAGCAGUAUGAGGGCUGCUCUAACUUUAGUCCACUGUCUGACCCCUUGUGCCCUUCUGAAAAUUUCCUGAUCUAUCAUCUUUUCUUCCGACUGUUCUCUUCUCCAUCAGCCUCAAGGAUGGGGAUAUUACAGGAGAGGCUCCGUUGACUCUGUCAAGCUGAGGAUUCCUUUACAUACCUACGUAUACAUGUAGGUAGAUAUGCUGCUACAUAUUGUGAUUUAAAUGAUCAUGUGCUUGAAGGUGAGUG